GGCUUGCCUGAGUGCAGUGGUGUUUACAAUUAAUUGACAACAAGUAACAGAUAUUUUUGUUCUUUCUCCAUUCCCAUUGCUUCAUUUGACUAGUUAAAA
Molecule: unclassified non-coding RNA, 99 nt
Organism: Colobus angolensis palliatus
Lineage: Eukaryota; Metazoa; Chordata; Mammalia; Primates; Cercopithecidae
Rfam family: Y RNA
About the family: Y RNAs are components of the Ro ribonucleoprotein particle (Ro RNP), in association with Ro60 and La proteins.
Source: Ensembl